GGGCCUGUAGCUCAAUCGGGAGAGCAGGGGAUUUAUAUCCCACAGGUUGCCGGUUCAAGUCCGGCCAGGUCCA
Molecule: transfer RNA, 73 nt
Filed under: Candidatus Berkelbacteria bacterium
Lineage: Bacteria; Candidatus Berkelbacteria
Description: tRNA-Ile
Rfam family: tRNA
About the family: Transfer RNA (tRNA) molecules are approximately 80 nucleotides in length. Their secondary structure includes four short double-helical elements and three loops (D, anti-codon, and T loops).
Source: RNAcentral